This 286-nucleotide ribosomal RNA is filed under the name Blastocystis hominis. RNAcentral describes it as "partial 18S ribosomal RNA". It matches the Rfam family "Eukaryotic small subunit ribosomal RNA", at positions 42 to 348 of the family's 1831-position model. Lineage: Eukaryota; Bigyra; Opalinata; Blastocystidae. The record is from RNAcentral.
GAUUAAGCCAUGCAUGUGUAAGUAUAAAUAUUAAACUUUGAAACUGCGAAUGGCUCAUUAUAUCAGUUAUAGUUUAUUUGAUGAAGAAUACUAAUUGGAUAACCGUAGUAAUUCUAGAGCUAAUACAUGUAUAAAGUCUUGUAGACUGCAUUUAUUAGAAUGAAAACCAUAGGUUUCGGCCUAUUCGUGAGUAAUAAUAACUAAUCAUAUCGUAUGCUUAUGUAACGAUGUGUCUUUCAAGUUUCUGCCCUAUCAGCUUUCGAUGGUAGUGUAUUGGACUACCAUG